Schizosaccharomyces pombe (fission yeast) is the source of this 459-nucleotide non-coding RNA. Lineage: Eukaryota; Fungi; Ascomycota; Schizosaccharomycetes; Schizosaccharomycetales; Schizosaccharomycetaceae. The record is from the annotation of a GenBank genome assembly.
UUCCCAAAACCCGUUACUUUAUUAAUUAGUAUAAGCUGAUGAAUUCACUUAUUGAGUCGCCAACUUAACGAUGAGGUGUUAGACUAGCCUGCCAUAUAUACUUUUGGCGGUAAAUAUUUCAAUUUCGUUAGGUAUUUUUAUCUAACUAAUGUACACGUUUCUAGCAACCUGAAAUGUAGGCUUGUAGAACUAGUUGAAAACAGAACGUUUGGAUUAUAUGAAUGAUAAUGAAUACACCGAGCAUCUUUUAUUAGGCAGACUCAACAAUUGACAACUUUGCAAUGUCCAUUGAAUCCUAAAAAUAAAAAUAGACAGGUAUAUAUACCUAUAAUUUUUUUGGUGGCUAACAACCUAACUUUUUCAAUUAAAACAAUUAACCGGCAUAGUCCUUCGUAAAUUCCAUGCACACUUGAUAAAUUUAAAUAUGUUUCAUCGCGGAUAUUCCGUUUACUGUUUUAU